Molecule: long non-coding RNA, 164 nt
Organism: Cottoperca gobio
Lineage: Eukaryota; Metazoa; Chordata; Actinopteri; Perciformes; Bovichtidae
Exons: 3
Source: RefSeq, a predicted model, not a curated record
UCUGCAGGUGCUGGGUGACAUGAAGAUAAACUGGAGACUACAGCACAUGCAGGUAACUCAUGGCUGAGAUAAAGUGACCAGAUGAAGACUUCUCACGUCAAGGAAUCUGAAUGAGCUCCACAUCACUGGGGGGCUGCGCGGGCCAGCACGCAGACUGUGAAGGU